CGGCUUCUUUUCAUCCUUCUCGGAGGAGGUCACGACUUGAAGUGUGUCGUCCUUCCCUGCCACCAAUUUCGUAGCAUUCCCAAGCGCCUUAAUAAGAAAAUCUAGCCACUUCUCAUCCAUCACCAGCAAGUCUUUCAACUUAUCCAGGUGGAUGGGAAGGCCUUCACAUCGACCUUCAAGAUGUUCACACAGGAGCACGAAAUGUCCCUCUCUACAAAUUGGUGGCACCACACAAGAUAUUUCUCGUCCUUCGCCAUCAAAUCUUCGAGCUCAUCCACGCGCGUGGAAACCUUCGAGACGACGGCGGGGGCCACACAGGAGCACCGAAUCUCCAACGUGUCCGCCUCCAUCAAGUUGAGCACGUUCGUCUCAAUCGGGCAACCUCAUGGGCGGUUACCGUAAUAGCCUGGGCCCCAACAUUAAAGAUCCUCUUGCUCAGGGUAAUGAAGACCAUGCAAAAUUCAAAACAAACUCCUCAACUUCCAGACAGCUAUGGACAGUUUUCCUCGAAGGGUAAUAAAAGCACUUGCUUCCAAGCGGGAGCCAACGUUUCGUAAUCCCUUCCAUCUACAACAAUUAAAUGCUUCAAUUCUUCGGCAGGGUGGUUGCUGGUUACAGGUUUAUGGAGUCGCUGUGACGUGCUUCAACGACAUGUACGACAUUUGUCAAAUUGUGUCCACAGCGUUCCCUCUCAAUCAAACUCAGAAGGCAACAACGUGAGUAGUUUAAAAAACUAGUUGAAAAAACUUUUGAUAGUUUUACUUUCCACCGAGGAAUGACCAUAGUGGAGAUGUGAGAAUCUGUUCGUGUACGUCCACCCACUGAAAUGCGCACAAGAUGAGUCUUGAUUGAACUCUUCUGCCUUCAGCCAUACUAAAGGUUUGCGAUCUUCCACGUGGGGGAAAUUCCUACAAUAAAUCACCAUCCUUAAAUGCAAAAAUAUAAAACCCACAGCA
Molecule: non-coding RNA, 956 nt
Organism: Physcomitrium patens
Lineage: Eukaryota; Viridiplantae; Streptophyta; Bryopsida; Funariales; Funariaceae
Source: RefSeq, a predicted model, not a curated record